ACGGCUAACUCUGUGCCAGCAGCCGCGGUAAUACAGAGGUGGCGAGCGUUGUUCGGAUUUACUGGGCGUAAAGGGUGCGUAGGUGGUUAGGUAAGUCGGAUGUGAAAGCCCAAGGCUCAACUUUGGAACUGCAUCCGAUACUGCUUGACUAGAGUGCAGGAGGGGAGAGCGGAAUUCUUGGUGUAGCGGUGAAAUGCGUUGAUAUCAAGAAGAACACCGGUGGCGAAGGCGGCUCUCUGGAAUGUUACUGACACUGAGGCACGAAAGCUGGGGGAGCAAACAGGAUUAGAUACCCUGGUAGUCCCAGCCGUAAACGGUGCACACUUGGUGUGGGGAGAUUUAACCCUCUCCGUGCCGGAGCUAACGCGUUAAGUGUGCCGCCUGGGGAGUACGGCCGCAAGGCUAAAACUCAAAGAAAUUGACGGGGGCCCGCACAAGCGGAGGAGCAUGUGGCUUAAUUCGAUGCAACGCGAAGAACCUUACCAGGGCUUGACAUGUAGCUGCACGCCCCGUGAAAGCGGGGAAGCCUUCGAGGGUGCUACACAGGUGCUGCAUGGCUGUCGUCAGUUCGUGCCGUGAGGUGUUGGGUUAAGUCCCGCAACGAACGCAACCCCUGUGGUUAGUUGCCACCGCCGGUGAUAAGCCGGCGAGCACUCUAGCCAGACUGCCCGUACAAGCGGGAGGAAGGUGGGGAUGACGUCAAGUCAGUAUGGCCCUUACGCCCUGGGCUGCACACGUGCUACAAUGGCCGGUACAGAGGGAUGCAAU
RNAcentral lists this ribosomal RNA (768 nucleotides) under marine sediment metagenome. RNAcentral describes it as "bacterial SSU rRNA". It matches the Rfam family "Bacterial small subunit ribosomal RNA", at positions 493 to 1253 of the family's 1533-position model. The record is from RNAcentral.